This 376-nucleotide ribosomal RNA is filed under the name uncultured bacterium. Its description in RNAcentral is "bacterial SSU rRNA". It matches the Rfam family "Bacterial small subunit ribosomal RNA", at positions 524 to 898 of the family's 1533-position model. The record is from RNAcentral.
UACGUAGGGAGCGAGCGUUGUCCGGAAUUACUGGGCGUAAAGGGCGCGUAGGCGGGAACUUAAGUCAGGUGUGAAAACUCCGAGCUCAACUUGGAGACUGCACUUGAAACUAGGUUUCUUGAGGGCAGGAGAGGAAAGUGGAAUUCCUAGUGUAGCGGUGAAAUGCGUAGAUAUUAGGAGGAACACCAGUGGCGAAGGCGACUUUCUGGACUGUACCUGACGCUGAGGCGCGAAAGCGUGGGGAGCGAACGGGAUUAGAUACCCCGGUAGUCCACGCUGUAAACGAUGAAUACUAGGUGUAGGAGGUAUCGACCCCUUCUGUGCCGCAGCUAACGCAAUAAGUAUUCCGCCUGGGGAGUACGGCCGCAAGGUUGAA